UGGUUGAUCCUGCCGGAGGCUACUGAUAUCGGGGUUNGAUUAAGCCAUGAGAGUUAAAUNUUNUUNGUGAACAUAGCGAAGUGGUCAGUAACACGUGGAUAACNUACCNUUAGGACNNNAAUAACCCNNNGAAACUGGGGAUAAUACUGGAUAAGCCAUAGACGUUGGAAUGCCNUAUGGUUCAAAGNUCNGGCGCNUAAGGANGGAUNUGNNNUNUAUCAGGUUGUAGUGGGUGUAACGUACNUACUAGCNGACGANGGAUACGGGUUGUGAGAGCAAGAGCCCGGAGAUGGAUUNUGAGACANGAAUCCAGGCCCUANGGGGUGCAGCAGGCGCGAACACUUUACAAUGCGGGAAACCGCGAUAAGGGAACCCCGAGUGCCAGCAUCAAAUGUUGGCUGCCCAGAUGAUUAAAAAUCAUUUGUUAGCAAGGGCCGGGCAAGACCGGUGCCCGCCGCCGCGGUAACACCGGCGGCCCGAGUGGUAGCCGUUUUUAUUGGGUCUAAAGGGUCUGUAGCCGGCCUGAUAAGUCCUUUGGGAAAUUUGGCAAGUUAACUGUCAGGAUUUUAAGGGAUACUGUCAGGCUUGGGACCGGAAGAGGUAAGGGGUACUCCAGGGGUAGGAGUGAAAUUUUGUAAUCCCUGGGGGACCAUCUGUGGCGAAGGCGCCUUACCAGAACGGGUCCGACGGUGAGGGACGAAAGCUAGGGGAGCAAACCGGAUUAGAUACCCGGGUAGUCCUAGCUGUAAGCGAUGCUCGCUAGGUGUCAGACACGGUGCGACCGUGUUUGGUGCCGCAGGGAAGCCGUUAAGCGAGCCACCUGGGAAGUACGGUCGCAAGGCUGAAACUUAAAGGAAUUGGCGGGGGAGCAC
RNAcentral lists this ribosomal RNA (872 nucleotides) under uncultured archaeon. Its description in RNAcentral is "partial 16S ribosomal RNA". It matches the Rfam family "Archaeal small subunit ribosomal RNA", at positions 5 to 879 of the family's 1478-position model. The record is from RNAcentral.